CUGCUUUGGAUUCUGUGUCUCUCGCCCUCUGUCCCUCCCCUGCUUACGCCCUCUCAAAAAUAAGUGAAUGCGCGUUAAAAAAAAAUUUUAAACAAAAAAAAAUAAAUUUCUACAUAAACAAAAACCCCAAUGCUAUUCCUGGGUACAGAGCUGAGGCAGUCAGAAAGAAAACGCUGAACCCCAUCUUAGCACAACUCGGAGCCCUGAAGCCGUAAGAGGCUGAUACACACAGCAGAGAGGCAGGCAUGUUCUGUGGGAACGGGCCAAGCGGGGAGGGCAGGUGCGCUGCCCACCGGCUGCCGGAAGCCACAGUGCGUCCUCCAGGAGGCCAGAGCUGCCCGUCAGCACGGCGGUGACGGCUUCCCUGCCUGUGUUCCUCAGAGACGCUUCCGUUUUUCACACUGAGCAACUGUUAGCUUUAGGACCAGUCGAGGCAACGAGGACCACGACUCACGGUGUCCUGCCAGAACCCGCCCGGAGGACGCGGUGGCUGCUGCCUGGCUGGGAGGGGUCUUACUUGUGCUUGUUCCCACUUUUGACCAGGUCUUCAAUGUCCAGGAUGGAGGUAGUCAGCUCCUGCUCCAGGCUCUUCUCUGGGGAAAGAGGCAGGAGUAAAGACGUGUCCUCAGGCCCACUGAGUCCCCGCAGACCCCAGAGGGACGCCCAGAACAGCAUGGCUCCCACAUAGUGAGCAGUGGCCACGGCCACCCCAAGACUCUCCCUCAGGGCAAGACGGGGGCACCCCCCCGCCAGGGACUCACCAGAGAGAACUCCUGCCCUGUCAGCCUGAGGGUCACCUGGGAAGGACCCCAGACCUUAAGCGAUCCUUAGGGAGCCCUGCCCUGUACCUCAGAAGGUGGCUGCUGGCCUGAGACUGAUAAAUAGGAGAGGGGAUCCCUGGGAACUUGGGGGUUACGGGGCUGGAGGGGGUGCACAGCCCCACAGCCCGUCACCACCAUCCCAGACACUCUGGAGGUCGUGCCCUGGGAGCAUCUGUCUUACUAGUAGGCUUCAGUCUGGCACCAAGUUGCUUUCUCUCCCUGCCCCCACCCCCAAAUGUCAACAGUGCAGGGAGCACAGAGCAGAGGCAGGGCAGACAGGAAGGAUGGGGCGCCCCGAGGCAGAACCCGCCUGACAGACCCAGGGCCCCUCCCUCGGGACAGCAGCCCAUAAGCACCACACCCUGCUGGCUGUCCACCCUGCUGGCUGGACAGCCAGGUGGCCCAGGGCAGAAAGGUGCUCCAGAAGGGGCACAGGACCUUCCCAGGGCCCCAGGAACCCUCUGGGGAGCUGCUUUAACCCGGCCACUCGGGAGCCCUCGCCCAGGCUGGCGGGACCAGGGCUCUCCUCUAAAAAACACCCGAGGGCCCCAGGGCAGCCUCCUGUGGAACUGGGCUCCCGGCUCCCGGCCCCACUGUGGCAGGUACCAGGCCCAGUCCACUGCAGAAGCCGGAACACAGUGACCCGACCCCGAAAUGGCCCCAGGGACAGCAGGGAGAGAAGCUGCAAGCUGGCACCGCCAUAGCAACAGAGCAGCCAACCCCAGGCUCUGUGGCAGGCCAGCCCGGAGCCCGGACACCCUCCUGGGGCAGGGGUGUGGGUUGCGAAGGGGUCCCAGCCAGCGCGGACCCCGGCACGCAGAGGCUGCGGGCGGCCAGCAGGGCCCUUCGCCUGCUUCCCCAGAUGCAGGCCAGGCAGCGCUCCGGCUCUGCACCUCUCUUCCUCCUAUCGUGCCUCUCCUCCUCUCAGACCCCCCCUGCAGUCUCUGCUCACUCUCCCCAGCGCUGGGCAGCUUCUGGCGAUGCCCCCUCACGUCCCACGGCAGGGCAGAGGAGGCUGAGACACGGACCUCGGACAGGGCGUGCGGCAAGAACCAGAGCAAAACGCGGAGGCUGGGGAUCAGGGGACGACCGAUGGAGGCUGGAGCCAGCAGGGCAGACGGGACGGCACCCACACUCUGCCGUGCGGGGCGGGGAGAUCGGAGGGGGGUGGUCUGCAGCCCAGAGGACCAGCACACGCCAGCUCCAGCACUGACUCCGCUUUGGGCUGAAAGUGCCCCUCAGCUCCCACCACCCACCUCUGGACUCCUGACCCAUCCCUGCUCCAGCACCCACCAGACAAGAAGUCCUUGACAGGUGUGAGGGGCACCCCCACCGUGGAAAAGCAAAGAUCUGACAGAUUUGGAGUCAAGGGCACCAGCGCCAGCCCUCCACUCUGGGCCCGAGGAGAGGAAGCAGUAUGCACCAAGGCCGUGGGCACCUGCACAUGCACCCAUCGAGCCACACUAGGGCCAGCUGUUGUCAUGACCCUGUGCCAGUCACUUCAGCCACCUCUGGGAGAGGCUGCCCACUCCCCGACACAGCACCAAAAGACAGAGCACUCCCAGGACUCAGGGGAGCCACGGUCAAAGGACACAUGCCGAAAUCAGAAGGAAAAGCCGGUGGAGUUCGGGAGACCACGGAGAAGCUUCCAGAACCCCCUCCCUGAGCUAACUCCCCCAGAAUGAGCCGAGACUAUGUGUGAAAUGCUGUCUACUGGGAGGUUCGCCAGAAGCCCAGCGCCCAGGGCUUUUGCUGGGGGCUGGUCACGUAGGCAGCCCUGGCUGGAGAGCACCCCAAUUCCAGACUCUGCUCAGCAUAAACCAUGUUGUUUGCACCAACAGUUUAGGCCCUGAGAGCCCCUACCAGGGAAUGGUGAAGCCCUGAAAUCCCAGUUCCCAAACCGCAGCAAGGCCAGCCUUGCCAGGAGGCCCCUCUGGGAUGGAGGCCUCUCCUGCCCCGGCGUAUGAGCCGUUCUGCACACGACCCAGGGCAGGCCCGCGGCCAGGAGACAGUGCUCGGACCACUGCACCUCGCUGAGCCCCCGCGGCCACUCUGGAGCCCGAAGGGGAGAGCCAGCAGGCCACGAGGCCUAAGAGGCUGCACGUGCUCCAAGCCCACCUGGCUGUACGCUGAGCGAGCAGCAGGAGUGGCUUCCACGAACCCCCUCUCACCUUCCACGUUGUUGUAGAAGUGACAGGAACGACUGGCCACCUUUUUCCGGCACAAGUGGAUCUGGUAAAAAGAGGGAGCAGGCCCGGCGGGCACAUGGUCAAGAAAGGACAGCGCACCGGGCCAGCCAGGGAGCACCUUGCCCGAUGUGUGGAGAGCGAGUCCUGUCCCAGCCCUGCCCCCGCCAGCUCUUCACCGGGCUGUCCCGCGGGGGCACAGCUGAGGGAAAGAGCCACCCCAGGAGCCCACCUGCAUGUGGUUACUCUCCUGCUUCUUCACCUCAGGGUGGAUACACAGCUGCUCCCGGGAACCCAGCACACAUACCCUGGGCCUGGCAGAAGAGAGAGCCGUGGGGUCCAAGAACCAGAGGGCACCAGCUCCCAGCGCCAUCCGGCAGCAAGAGCAUGCGCUACGGGGGGCACAGCGGGAGACAGAACUCACAAGAGGGAGUGGCUGGGGCCAGAACGGCGGCCCCCAGGCUUGGGCGGCACUCUCUCUGCUGCAUCGCCCAGAGUGAGCAAGGAGACAAGGCAGGGGAAGCGGGGCAGACGGAGGAGACCCCACCUACUCUGUGCUCCCCCACCCAGGAGGCUGGGGCAGGACGCCAGGACCCCCGCAGCUGUGCAGGGCUCCGACAGAGGCAGGGCCGCCCCCUUCACGCGCCUGCCACGGUGACCCGCGCCCACAGCUGACACCACACUGCUUUCCAGGACCUCAGGCUGCCGCUAACCCAGCCGCUUUCUCAUAAGCAGUGGGCAGCAGGGUCAGCCUGGCCCGCACACAGCCCUGGACGCGGAGCAGACAGUACCCUCCGGGCAGGGUCCAGGCAGAAUGCCACCAUCAACCACCUGGCCAAGGCCAACCCCCCGUAACUCCGAGGCAGGGGUGAGUGCCGCCUGGCCCUACCGGUAGGAGGUGCUCCGAAGCUCGCUGAUGACCUGAGUGAGCUGCGAGUGGGUCCUGGAGGCAUAAAUGAUCUUUGGGACGUCCGAGUAGCAGGCUGCCCAGACACAAGGAAGCAGGGCAGGUCACAGUUCCGGCAGACAAUGUUCUCGCAGGCUGUUAACCCAAGGGCACGUGGCCAACUCGACCCUGCGCACCCAGCCCCAGGAACGAGCUAUGUGGCUAGCCGCGGCGUUCUAGUGUGAACACCUGGCUCCGACCUGAGGCUCACGGCCAGAUGCUGGGAAAGAACAGAGCAGCCUCACCAGCCCACUCUGUCCCUGCGUUUCUUCUCUACGGAGCCCCAGAGGGGCCGAGAGGAGCCUCACCUGUGCUGUCUCCAUCGGAAGCGGCAGCUCCCCAGGACAAGGUGUGAUCGACAAAAAGCACCCCCUGCGCCCUCUCGGCGAUCUUGCGGGCAGAGAUGGUGUCACGGAGGUGCUCCCGCCAGGCCAGCGUGGUGCAGAGGAGGCACAGUGUCUUCCCUGUGCCUGUGGGGCUCUCCAGGAUGCCGUUCACUUUCUGAACGGGGUCAGGAACAAGGUCACGGGGAAGCAGAGAGAGGCAGUGCAGACCACACCGCCCACCUGACACUGGUCUGGGGCAGUUCUGUCCAGGCAGAGCCCACCCAGCAGGUGGCAAAAGGCCUGGGGAACAGUGGACAACUGGACAGUGCUUCCACUCUCAAACCAAAAGCCAAAAGCUACCGGGUUAAUUCAGCCCUCAUUAACAAACAGCUUGCAGAACAUCACAUAAAGUAUUUUUCCGCGUAACAUAAGUAGUAAAGUGACUAAUUAGGUUCCAAGUCUCAAGACAGAAGACUGUUCUGCGACUUUGCAUGCAGACAUUCGCACUGUCUGAACAGAACCUGACGACCUAUGUAGACCUGCAUGCACAGGCGGGAGCCCGAGCCGCAAACCCUGAGACACACAAAGGCACAUCAGCAAAGCUGUGCCCCUCGCUCCCGGGACUGGGCACCAGGCUCCUCACUGCAGGAGUCCGUGUCCAGAACAGCAGUCAGGAGCCCCUCAGGGGCUGGGAGCUUCAGGAGGGUGUGAGAGAGCCUAGCAAGAAAGCCAGCAGGAAGCAGCCCGCACCCCCCCCCCCCAACUUUCCUGCACGCCCCUGGGGUUUGAAGACCUUCCAAAAUGACAGUUGGGCACUGACUAUCCCUCCAUGUGGAAAUACCUCCCCCGGAUCCUCAAGUGGGCCUCAGGGUGCUCCCAAGCCUAUGACCUCACGACUACCCUUAGGAGUGAAAAGUGUCUUUUUCCGCCUACUUCCCUAUCGUCUUUCCUAGAACCCCAGCCCCAUUUAUGACUGAGUCCUGUAUCCAGAGGGAGACCUCAUUCCCAGCAGGGCCCAGCAGGAGUGAACAGGAAGGUGGACCCACUCCCAGGGCACAAAGCCCCUCAUCUGCAGCUGUACCUUCUGCAGACACUCCAGGACCUUGCUCAUGUACUCCUCCUGGCAUUUGUACGGCUGGAAGGGGAAGUCCACUGUCACGCCAUUCAGGGCUAUCUUGGGCAUACUGGCCUGUUCUCAGGAAGGCACUGAGACUGGCUGAUAUGCAGGCUGUGAGACAAAACCCCUCCGAACAUCUCAGGAUCUUCGCCACAGCGGGUAAGUGAUGCCAGCCAGCGGCGCUGGGACGUGACCCUGCUCCCAGCAGGAAGCCCUAUGGCAGAGACGGCAAGACUGCUUAUAGCAGGCCUUUCUGGAGUGCCAAGCCACCUCACCGAUCGAUGGGGCAGGCCCUCCCCCCCUGCAAGGUCGAAGGCAAGCCUGUGAUGUCCUAUCAUAAGGAGCUCGGGAAGAUGAGGAACCUACACGUCAGCCCUGCCUCGUUCUCCCGCCCCGCGCAGCUGGGUCCUGCUCGGGGAGAGUCGGCCAGACCCACAGAAACAACGACAGCCGGGGCCCGGGUGCAGUCCCACAAGCUCCGCCUGCAGUAAUUCACUUAGUGCCAGCGGAGCUGGAGAGGCCAGACCCCCGGCUUGGGCCGGCCUCAACGUCCAGUCCCAGUUUCGCCUGGACACUGGGGCUAACGGACAGUUCACGUAAACACCGAAUGACGGCCCUCCCUGCAGAGCCCGGCCCGCAGGGGAACCACCGCCCGGGAACCUGCUCCGCGCGGCGCGGGGCGCAGGCCACGAGAACAGGAAAACUACCGGCCCCAGAAGGCCGCGCGGCAGAAUGGCCGACGCGCGGGCGCAGAGUGGCGCGGGGCCUGCCGGGAGCUGCAGUUUCGGGAGGCGCCGCUCGGGUAAAAGUAUCAGUUCCAGGGUCUGUGCGACUCACGGCCCAACGGGUGUCCGCGGGGAGCCUUGCACGACCCGGGGUCCCCAGGAAUUUACCCCAGUUUACCGAAGCACGACACCGCGUCUCCUCCGCCGUCAGCCGGUUCGGGCUUGGCGGGCUGAGGCGCACAAUCGUCACUGAACGCGCUGCACUUCCGUCCCUAAUUCCGGUCCGCUGCGCGUCGCUCCCCGCGGAAACCGUUCCGCUGCGGAGGGGUCCGCGCGCUCGGUUCCAGGCCCCACCCUGCCCCCGCCGUCGACCCUGAGCCUGGGGAACGGCACCUCCAUCGCCCGCAGGCAGAAACCUAGGGUUCCAGCCGUCUCCUCCCUCGAUGCUUUCCCCACCAGAGCCUGCAUUCCAUCACUCCUCCCUGGGCUGAGCCACCUGGAUUGUCCAGACAAUUGCACAAACCUUCGGAUUGGUUAGCUGUGAUCCCUCCUCCCCUUUUCUCCCCAAGGGCUACUCGGGCCUGGAGACCCUCAGCCGACUUUCUAGACAAUGUCCCCCCCGACUGGUGAGGGUGGACCCCCCUGACUCCCCAGCACCUAGCACCGGCUGGCAGUCAGCAGUGGGACCAAGGGGUCUGCACAGCUCUGUAGGCUGUAGGUAUUUGUAGAUGACCCCAGCCUGUCCCAAAAGGCACCAGCCAGCUGGCAAUGCUGACAUCAGAGUUUCUCAUGGGCUCUGUUUAAUGCCUAGAUGUGUGACAUUGUGCUUAGAGAAGCACGUGGACCACUGGCAUCCACCCCCCCCCCCACCUGUCCCACCUGUGAGGGGGUGUGCAGUGUUUGUCUUAGACUCUCAGCUAGAGAUUGGAGAAGAUGAGGAGACCUGGCCACACACUUGCUGAGUACUCACUCCAAACAGAUUUCACUACCAUCCACGCAGGCAUUGACAUGUUUGUCUUCCUAAUGGCCUCUGAGAUAAGUUCUUUUAUUAUCCACACUUCACAAAGAACAUGCUAGGUGGUGAGCAGAUCGCCCAAAGCCAGCAGCUAGCAAGUCUCAGAGCCAGGAGUCCUCCUCUUCAGGUCCACACACCCCUGUCUUCUAAAAGCAGAGGUGUUGGUGCUUCCAGAAGUCCAAGGAAGGUAGGGCAGGGCCCAGAGACUCGAGCCCCCUGGGCAGGACUGGAGCUGAGGACUCUGAGACCCUGAGUUGAUGCAUGAGCUGCCUGGUCACAAACCACACAUGGGGACUGCCAGGCCUCCUACAAAUUAUAACCUACAAAUUCCGUGUACUGAACUUAGCCACGAAAGAUGAGAGGGAAUGGACACCAACUGAAGGAUGGCCAUAGCCAGCCCCGCCCAGCAGGCACAGAGGUCUUGAUCAAGUCAACAAAUUUGAGUUGAGCCUGCUGUUACGGGCUUUGUGAGAUACCCAUGUGGGUCAGACACUAUGUGGAACACAAGACAGAUGUUAACACACUCGCUGUGUAUCUCAAGAAUCAGCUCAUCCUCUGGGAUGCUCCUUGGAGGCCUUCCGGACCAAUCCCCACCCCCACUGUCUACGACAAACUUUCCCCUCAGCACAGCCCUGGG
Long non-coding RNA from Felis catus (domestic cat), 7773 nucleotides. RefSeq lists it as uncharacterized. Lineage: Eukaryota; Metazoa; Chordata; Mammalia; Carnivora; Felidae. The record is from RefSeq and is a predicted model, not a curated record. The transcript is spliced from 3 exons.